AACGAACGCUGGCGGCAUGCCUAACACAUGCAAGUCGAACGAUGCUUUCGGGCAUAGUGGCGCACGGGUGCGUAACGCGUGGGAAUCUGCCCUUUGGUUCGGAAUAACAGCGAGAAAUUGCUGCUAAUACCGGAUGAUGACGUUAAGUCCAAAGAUUUAUCGCCAGAGGAUGAGCCCGCGUAGGAUUAGCUAGUUGGUGUGGUAAAGGCGCACCAAGGCGACGAUCCUUAGCUGGUCUGAGAGGAUAAUCAGCCACACUGGGACUGAGACACGGCCCAGACUCCUGCUGGAAGCAGCAGUGGGGAAUAUUGGACAAUGGGCGCAAGCCUGAUCCAGCAAUGCCGCGUGAGUGAUGAAGGCCUUAGGGUUGUAAAGCUCUUUUACCCGUGAUGAUAAUGACAGUAGCGGGAGAAUAAGCCCCGGCUAACUCCGUGCCAGCCGCCGCGGUAA
This 450-nucleotide ribosomal RNA is filed under the name uncultured bacterium. RNAcentral's name for it is "partial 16S ribosomal RNA". It matches the Rfam family "Bacterial small subunit ribosomal RNA", at positions 29 to 523 of the family's 1533-position model. The record is from RNAcentral.